Molecule: ribosomal RNA, 271 nt
Filed under: uncultured prokaryote
Description: partial 16S ribosomal RNA
Rfam family: Bacterial small subunit ribosomal RNA
Source: RNAcentral
UACGUAGGGUGCGAGCGUUAAUCGGAAUUACUGGGCGUAAAGCGUGCGCAGGCGGUUUGCUAAGACAGGUGUGAAAUCCCCGGGCUUAACCUGGGAACUGCGCUUGUGACUGGCAGGCUAGAGUACGGUAGAGGGGGGUGGAAUUCCUGGUGUAGCAGUGAAAUGCGUAGAUAUCAGGAGGAACACCGAUGGCGAAGGCAGCCCCCUGGGCCUGUACUGACGCUCAUGCACGAAAGCGUGGGGAGCAAACAGGAUUAGAUACCCCCGUAGU